ACUUGAACAAAUGAAAAAUGGUUGUUCCAMUAAAAUUUUAAAUACAUAUUGAUUAUGACGAUAUGUAUAAAAGUCUCGACUAAAUAUGUGCCAGCUGUCGCGGUAAUACAUAUGAGACUAGUGUUAUUCAUCUUAAAUAGGUUUAAAGGGUACUCAGACGGUCAAGAUAUCUAAGUAUAAUAAGUAAUAAUUGACUAGAGUUUUAUAUAAGAAGGUAGUACUUAAAGAGUAGAGAUUAAAUUCUUUUAUACUUAAGGGACAUAUAAAUGCUAAUGCGACCUUUUAGGUAAAAACUGACGUUAAAGGACGAAGGCAAAGGGCACGAAUAGGAUUAGAGACCCUAGUAGUCUUUGCAGUAAAUUAUGAAUGCCAUAGUAUAGAAAAUUAAUAUAAACUCAAAUUGAUUAUAUAUAUAUAUAUUURUACUAUAAAUGAAAGUGUAAGCAUUUCACCUCAAGAGUAAUGUGGCAACGCRGGAACUGAAAUCACUAGACCGUUUCUGACACCAGCAGUGAAGUAUGUUGUUUAAUUCGAUAAUCCACGAAAAACCUUACCACAAUUUGAAUGUUUAUUUUUAAAUAAUAAAAAUUUCAGCUAGGAAUACUAGCACRGGAGUUGCACGGCUGUUUCCAGUUAAUAKUGUGAAAUUAUGGUUUUCCAUGAAAUUAACGAAAUCCUUGGCUUUAUUUUAAAUAUUUACCAUAAAGCAUUKUGUCWUAUAUUAUUAURAGACU
This 734-nucleotide ribosomal RNA is filed under the name Corticium lombardiae. Its description in RNAcentral is "SSU rRNA". The record is from RNAcentral. Lineage: Eukaryota; Fungi; Basidiomycota; Agaricomycetes; Corticiales; Corticiaceae.